Molecule: long non-coding RNA, 1586 nt
Organism: Plutella xylostella (diamondback moth)
Lineage: Eukaryota; Metazoa; Arthropoda; Insecta; Lepidoptera; Plutellidae
Source: RefSeq, a predicted model, not a curated record
AGCACCUGUGAUUACUGAUUACCUAAGUUCCCAUAUACAAUAAUAGUUUAAUAAUUGUUAACAAAAUAUUGUAUAUAUAAGAAUUAAUAAUUAUACAAAAGGCUUAAAGCAUUUUGUACCAGCCAACCUAUAUAAUGAGACAUUAUCUGUAGCUUUAUUAAGUGGUAAAGGGACCUAAUUACUACCUAUAUUUUUUAGUAUUUGUGAUAAUUCAUAGAAUUUAUUAGUUCUAUCAAUAAAUAAAAUAUACAUGCAUUACAAUGUGUUUAAUUCAUUAACUUACAAUUUGCACACUGAGGGAAUGUGUAUGCUUUCGGUUAAAAUAUUCUUCCUCAUUCUGCGAGGGCCUCAGGCCAAAACCCACACCAAUCAAAUAAAUAUCACUAAUACAAGCUUAAUAUAAAGGAAAAUUACGAAUUCGGUAAAGAUGGAAACGUAUCUCGUAGGGACGGCUGUCCGGCUGAAAAAUGGCUUGAAGAUCUUGGAGAGAUGCGUACAAGGUCAAUUUCACUUUUAGCAGUAUUUUCUGAAAACGAUCUAACAAUUUCACCCUUUUCUUCGAAAGUUUAAAAUCGCUAAAACGUCAAAAUAUGACAGAUAAGCGAUAUCAAAAAGUUCAACAAAACUGACAUGAAUCGCGUCAUUCUCCAUUCCGUUCAUUCAUUUUGCGAUCUCGAAACGAUCUUACUAUGUAGCUUGUUUUUAGUGCCAUGUGAAUCGCAAUUUCAUAGCUCGUUCGUAAAAAUCUGAAAACGAGAUGAAAACGAAGUUGUUUUUUGUGACACGAAUCACCCUCCUGGGGCGCGAUUCACAUCUCAACCGAAAUAUUUGUAAAGCGAUACGAACGAGUUACGAGAUGAAAUCCGCAAUGUUCAAAAACGCGAUUCAUAACACACAUACUUUGAUCUCGUUUUCAUAUCGCUAGUUCGUAUUGGGAUGGCUUGAGUGAAAUGAAUGAAACUAUAUUUUUUUAAUUGCCAUGCAAAAAUUAUAAAUACUACCACUAAUUUGUUUUAAAUAAUUUUGUUCCUACAAUAUAUUUUGUUGGAAUUAGUGUCGAUAGCAAGUAUCAAGAAACGGCUUUUUAAUUCAACGUUGAAGAAAUUCAUAACCUGUGGCACUUUUGACAGCCGCCAUGUUUUCUACAUAAAAACAUUGAUUUUCUUUGCUCAUUUUCGUAUCAACGUAGUUUUUUUGGAAAAUAAGAAGAAAGGAAGUUUAACUAACUUAGAGAAAUACGACUGAGACAUAAUCAUGAACGAGAUGAACACAAGCAGCAGCCGAUGUGCUUGAGUCGCAGAUGGAGCAAGUGCGUUAUGAGAGGGCCACGGCUUCAGCCCUCACAAUGAAUAGCUGAAGCAAUGAACAGACAGGCUGCAGUCAAUGAGAGGCUUCUUGAGCAGGGGCUCCUCAUAUGGAAAAAGGCUAAUGAAAGGAACAAUCAAGACUGGCGGUGCGCGGGAGGAUCCCGUCCCUGCGCCUGGCCUUCAAUGGCCUCACGCCUCUCUUCUUCCUCUUCUUCAUGCGUCAAUUCAAACAGAGGAGCACCUGUGAUUACUGAUUACCUAAGUUCCUAUAUACAAUAA